GUCGCUGACGCCGACCGCAAGGGGAGCAGGCGCCUACGGAGUGAUCGAUGAUUGGGGUG
This 59-nucleotide ribosomal RNA is filed under the name uncultured bacterium. Its description in RNAcentral is "partial 16S ribosomal RNA". The record is from RNAcentral.